AUUAUUGCCCAAUUCUUAGAGUAAGUCCUAUAGUAUCGUCCUAUGAUUAUUAUCGUCAUUUCUAAUGUGUGUAACCUAUAGUUAAGAGAAAGUCGGCGGCGGCGCACGGAGCGCACGCGUCGCGUGUCUCGACUGCAAUCAAGUCAUCGAGUGUCACAGAGGGCUCGAAGCCACAGACGCUACAACAUGCUUUAAAUGACACGACACCGACACGACCGGCGCCGCGCCGCGCUCGUGCGCCGACACGCGGCGGGCGCGAGCUGUCCGGGCGAGGCUGGCCUCGGUCGUGUUUCACUGGUCUGCCAGAGAAUGAAAAACAGGUGGAACACUCUAAAUACGCAAUACCGAGCCGCCCGCCGGCGCCCCCGCCCCCGCGCCGCCGCACAGUCCCGAGUGCUCCGUCCGCACUGAUAACCUGCAUACUUUAACGUCGAUUCGUGCGUAUUCGCUUUUAUCCUCGUCUAUGUAUUGUCCCGCGUUCUAUUUCGCUAAUGUAGGUAUUUUAAAUGUCGUCUUUUAUAAUUGUUCUAAAUCGAAUGUACAAAAUUGUAACGAUUGUAGGCUAAGUGUCUACGAAAUACGAAAUCGAUAGAGUCUAGUGCCGCCGGUCGUCGCGGCGGGCCAUCGUGUCGUCGUAUGUUGCGCCGAGUGUACGUACUAUAGAACUAUAUAAUUAAGGAUUUAGUUUUUUUAUAAAAGUGAAAGUUGUCAUUUGUACCAUACUCACGAGAGCGUAAAAUAUUGUUGUUCACAGAUUAUUUUCAAGGAAAAUAAAUAAAUAUUUGCAUGCCGUGCAUA
Melitaea cinxia (Glanville fritillary) is the source of this 798-nucleotide long non-coding RNA. RefSeq lists it as uncharacterized. The record is from RefSeq and is a predicted model, not a curated record. The transcript has 2 exons. Lineage: Eukaryota; Metazoa; Arthropoda; Insecta; Lepidoptera; Nymphalidae.